UGAGAGGUUUUCUCAGGAGUGG
This 22-nucleotide non-coding RNA is filed under the name Rattus norvegicus (Norway rat). The record is from RNAcentral. Lineage: Eukaryota; Metazoa; Chordata; Mammalia; Rodentia; Muridae.